RNAcentral lists this ribosomal RNA (129 nucleotides) under uncultured Bacteroidota bacterium. Its description in RNAcentral is "uncultured Bacteroidetes bacterium partial 16S ribosomal RNA". It matches the Rfam family "Bacterial small subunit ribosomal RNA", at positions 399 to 525 of the family's 1533-position model. The record is from RNAcentral. Lineage: Bacteria; Pseudomonadati; Bacteroidota.
GCGUGCAGGAUGACGGCCCUAUGGGUUGUAAACUGCUUUUGUACGGGAAGAAACCUUGCUACGUGUAGCUUUCUGACUGUACCGUACGAAUAAGGAUCGACUAACUCCGUGCCAGCAGCCGCGGUAAUA